GGCCAAAAUCUCAAAUACUUGUUGGAUGCUGAACUUGGUUGUGACAUAGUUUUCCAGGUUGGAGAAGAGACAUUUAAGGGUCAUAAGUUGAUACUUGCUGCUCGGUCUCCUGUGUUUAGAGCCCAAUUCUUUGGACUUAUUGGGAAUCCUAAUACAGACAAAGUAGAAUUUGAGGAUAUUGAACCCCCAAUCUUCAAGGUAAUUACUUCGUGCCUUAUUGGGAAUCUUAAUACAGACAAAGUAGAACUUGAGGAUAUUGAACCCUCAAUCUUCAAGGUAUUUAGUUUGUGCUUUAAUACACAUGAUUCUUCUGCUGUAUGAAGAAACAUAUAUAAUUAAAGGAAGGUAAGAGAUGGUGAAUUUUGAAAGAUGAAAGGUCUUUUCGUUUUAGGCACUUCCCAAAACUUUGA
RNAcentral lists this long non-coding RNA (410 nucleotides) under Nicotiana benthamiana. RNAcentral's name for it is "long non-coding RNA (NBEN_LNC030667)". Lineage: Eukaryota; Viridiplantae; Streptophyta; Magnoliopsida; Solanales; Solanaceae. The record is from RNAcentral.